This is a long non-coding RNA of Sorghum bicolor (sorghum), 1351 nucleotides long. RefSeq lists it as uncharacterized. The transcript is spliced from 2 exons. NCBI's taxonomy places the organism in Eukaryota, Viridiplantae, Streptophyta, Magnoliopsida, Poales, Poaceae. The record is from RefSeq and is a predicted model, not a curated record.
GUUCUACCCCUCGCGACCUGCCCUCGCCGCAGCGUGGGCGCGGGGGCAUCACGGUCAUUCCCGGCGCUCGUUGCCUUGCCGCGCAGAUCUAGGCGCCCUAUUUCAGGGCCAGGGGAAAGCCGAUCAGCAGUUCGUGUGGAUUGGACACUUCAAAGAAGAGCUCCCCGCUGAGAAAGAGAAGAAAAAGAGGGUGGGUGGGAGAAGAGAACAAAAACUCAAGUAGAGAGAGAAAGCAGUGGCUCUGUUCUGUGUGAGUGUGUGUGGGGAAGAGAGAGAGAGAGGUAGGAAAGCCAUUGUUGCAGUUUCUCAGAGGAAGGGAGGGAGGGAGGGAGGAAGGGAGCGGGCGGAGAAAAAGUUGGUGAGUGAAACUUACCACCUACUGUUGCAGCUGCUCCCACUUCCCCGCUGGCUGCAUCGUCCCUCGCCUCGCCUCGUCUCCCCCACCCCACCUCCUCCUGCACGCUGCCUGCAUGCUUCAUCGCCUCGCCUGCGUGCGGAGGAGGAGGAGGAUGAUGGUGGAGGAGAGAGCGGGCGAGCCGUCGGAGGUGGAGGAGCAGGGCUGCGCAGCGAGGGCGAGGCUAGGGCCAGCCAAAAGGAGAUUGGGCGCCGUGGGCCCGCCGCCCUCCAGCUGAGCAGGAAAGGCAUCGGCGAGGGAGGUGGUGGUGGUGGAGGAUCUCCUCUCACGUCAAGGGUGGUGGUGUGCAAAGCAUAAAGCUAGGGUGGAGGAGAGGGGGAAGGCGCAGAGCUUCCCGGCCUCACAAAGCAAAAGGCUUCAUCAGAAAGGAGAAAGGCAGAAAGCUUGGGCCUUCCGAGGGAGAGCAAGGCAUCCAGCGAGCGUGCUGCGCCUGUGGGGAGAGCAUUCCGGUGCUUGAUAAAUAGCGGCUUCAAGCUGAGGGAGAGCAUCCGGUCCUAGCUCUUGCCACCACCGUGCGCUUUCCUCCUCCUGCUCUCCGCCGGUGUACUCGGCGGCUUGGCGAUGGCAUUGCAACAGCAGCAGGAGGAGGACGGCGACGAGGGCGAGGGCGGGGAAGAAGAAGACGACGACGAGGAGGAGGGGAUGAUGGGGUACAGUGUUGGGGAGCUCAUCUCCGCUUGUCCCGAGGCGUGCUGUCCGCUUGUGGCGGUGUAGUAGUAAGAUAUUGGCGCAAUAGGCUCAAUCACCUUUUUUUUUUCUUCAUUUGCCUUUUCCUUCCUGGUUCGAUGUUGCUGUGCUUGAUUUUUUUUCCCUUCUUUGCCUCUUUUGUUCCUGAUUGAUGAGUCUAAUUCAUCAUUACAUCACACACUCUUGGUGCUUUGCCCGGUUUAGAACGCAAGGCAAAACUACGCACAAAAAAGAGUGAUUAGUGUCUAA